CGGCAGCACGGGCUUCGGCCUGGUGGCGAGUGGCGAACGGGUGAGUAAUAUAUCGGAACGUACCCAAGAGUGGGGGAUAACGUAGCGAAAGUUACGCUAAUACCGCAUACGAUCUAAGGAUGAAAGCAGGGGACCGCAAGGCCUUGUGCUCCUGGAGCGGCCGAUAUCUGAUUAGCUAGUUGGUGAGGUAAAGGCUCACCAAGGCGACGAUCAGUAGCUGGUCUGAGAGGACGACCAGCCACACUGGAACUGAGACACGGUCCAGACUCCUACGGGAGGCAGCAGUGGGGAAUUUUGGACAAUGGGCGCAAGCCUGAUCCAGCAAUGCCGCGUGAGUGAAGAAGGCCUUCGGGUUGUAAAGCUCUUUUGUCAGGGAAGAAACGGUAGAGGCUAAUAUCCUCUGCUAAUGACGGUACCUGAAGAAUAAGCACCGGCUAACUACGUGCCAGCAGCCGCGGUAAUACGUAGGGUGCAAGCGUUAAUCGGAAUUACUGGGCGUAAAGCGUGCGCAGGCGGUUUUGUAAGUCUGUCGUGAAAGCCCCGGGCUCAACCUGGGAAUUGCGAUGGAGACUGCAAGGCUUGAAUCUGGCAGAGGGGGGUAGAAUUCCACGUGUAGCAGUGAAAUGCGUAGAGAUGUGGAGGAACACCGAUGGCGAAGGCAGCCCCCUGGGUCAAGAUUGACGCUCAUGCACGAAAGCGUGGGGAGCAAACAGGAUUAGAUACCCUGGUAGUCCACGCCCUAAACGAUGUCUACUAGUUGUCGGGUUUUAAUUAACUUGGUAACGCAGCUAACGCGUGAAGUAGACCGCCUGGGGAGUACGGUCGC
Molecule: ribosomal RNA, 826 nt
Filed under: Massilia sp.
Lineage: Bacteria; Pseudomonadati; Pseudomonadota; Betaproteobacteria; Burkholderiales; Oxalobacteraceae
Description: bacterial SSU rRNA
Rfam family: Bacterial small subunit ribosomal RNA
Source: RNAcentral